GGCUGAGUUGGUAGAGCAUGGUGUUUGCAACGCCAGGGUUGUGGGUUCGAUUCCCAC
RNAcentral lists this transfer RNA (57 nucleotides) under Salmo salar (Atlantic salmon). It matches the Rfam family "tRNA", at positions 9 to 63 of the family's 71-position model. From Rfam's summary of the family: Transfer RNA (tRNA) molecules are approximately 80 nucleotides in length. Their secondary structure includes four short double-helical elements and three loops (D, anti-codon, and T loops). Further hydrogen bonds mediate the characteristic L-shaped molecular structure. tRNAs have two regions of fundamental functional importance: the anti-codon, which is responsible for specific mRNA codon recognition, and the 3' end, to which the tRNAs corresponding amino acid is attached (by aminoacyl-tRNA synthetases). tRNAs cope with the degeneracy of the genetic code in two manners: having more than one tRNA (with a specific anti-codon) for a particular amino acid; and 'wobble' base-pairing, i.e. permitting non-standard base-pairing at the 3rd anti-codon position. The record is from Rfam by way of RNAcentral. Lineage: Eukaryota; Metazoa; Chordata; Actinopteri; Salmoniformes; Salmonidae.